This 441-nucleotide ribosomal RNA is filed under the name uncultured bacterium. RNAcentral describes it as "partial 16S ribosomal RNA". It matches the Rfam family "Bacterial small subunit ribosomal RNA", at positions 338 to 795 of the family's 1533-position model. The record is from RNAcentral.
CCUACGGGAGGCUGCAGUGAGGAAUAUUGGUCAAUGGGCUUACGCCUGAACCAGCCAAGCCGCGUGAGUGAAGAAGGUUUUCGGAUUGUAAAGCUCUGUUAGCAGGGAAGAGGAAGGACGGUACCUGCAGAGGAAGCCACGGCUAACUACGUGCCAGCAGCCGCGGUAAUACGUAGGUGGCAAGCGUUGUUCGGAAUAACUGGGCGUAAAGGAUGCGUAGGCGGUUAAACAAGUUAUAUGUUAAAUAUAUAGGCUUAACCUGUAGAAAGCAUAUAAAACUGUUUAACUAGAGUGCAGGAGAGGUAAGUGGAAUUCCUAGUGUAGCGGUGAAAUGCGUAGAGAUUAGGAAGAACACCAGUGGCGAAGGCGGCUUACUGGACUGUAACUGACGCUGAGGCAUGAGAGCAUGGGGAGCAAACAGGAUUAGAUACCCGAGUAGUC